This 478-nucleotide ribosomal RNA is filed under the name uncultured organism. Its description in RNAcentral is "partial 16S ribosomal RNA". It matches the Rfam family "Bacterial small subunit ribosomal RNA", at positions 331 to 800 of the family's 1533-position model. The record is from RNAcentral.
GUACACUCCUGCGGGAGGCAGCAGUGGGGAAUUUUGGACAAUGGGCGAAAGCCUGAUCCAGCAAUGCCGCGUGUGUGAAGAAGGCCUUCGGGUUGUAAAGCACUUUUGUCCGGAAAGAAAUCCUCGGCUCUAAUACAGUCGGGGGAUGACGGUACCGGAAGAAUAAGCACCGGCUAACUACGUGCCAGCAGCCGCGGUAAUACGUAGGGUGCGAGCGUUAAUCGGAAUUACUGGGCGUAAAGCGUGCGCAGGCGGUUUGCUAAGACCGAUGUGAAAUCCCCGGGCUCAACCUGGGAACUGCAUUGGUGACUGGCAGGCUAGAGUAUGGCAGAGGGGGGUAGAAUUCCACGUGUAGCAGUGAAAUGCGUAGAGAUGUGGAGGAAUACCGAUGGCGAAGGCAGCCCCCUGGGCCAAUACUGACGCUCAUGCACGAAAGCGUGGGGAGCAAACAGGAUUAGAUACCCCCGUAGUCCCAUGA